UGAAGUCGUGACCAGAUCUGCUUCUGUAAGAUUGAAUGGACACGAAAGACGGGCGAAAAAAAUCUACAAAAGUAAUCAUUUCUGUCUAAUUUAUGUGCAAGGAACGACACUUGUGUUUGUGUGAUUGUGCUUGGGCUGGGCCUCUCUCACUCUUGCUAAUGUUGUUGUUAGGAGGCGUGGCCACGACGAGGCCCAGUAUUGGCGAGCCCACCGUGCUGGCCGACCCACCGCCGCUGCCGCUGCCGCUUCCACUUCCGCUGGACGGGCCGGCGG
Molecule: long non-coding RNA, 273 nt
Filed under: Hordeum vulgare
Lineage: Eukaryota; Viridiplantae; Streptophyta; Magnoliopsida; Poales; Poaceae
Description: long non-coding RNA (HVUL_LNC005019)
Source: RNAcentral